GACGAACGCUGGCGGCGUGCUUAACACAUGCAAGUCGAACGAUGAAGCCGGAGCUUGCUCUGGUGAAUUAGUGGCGAACGGGUGAGUAACACGAGAGUAACCUGCCCUUGACUCUGGGAUAACUGCGGGAAACUGUAGCUAAUACCGGAUACGACCCUCGGAGGCAUCUCCUGGGGGUGGAAAGAAUUUCGGUCAAGGAUGGACUCGCGGCCUAUCAGCUCGUUGGUGAGGUAAAGGCUCACCAAGGCGACGACGGGUAGCCGGCCUGAGAGGGUGACCGGCCACACUGGGACUGAGACACGGCCCAGACUCCUACGGGAGGCAGCAGUGGGGAAUAUUGCACAAUGGGCGCAAGCCUGAUGCAGCAACGCCGCGUGAGGGAUGACGGCCUUCGGGUUGUAAACCUCUUUUAGCAGGGAAGAAGCGAAAGUGACGGUACCUGCAGAAAAAGCACCGGCUAACUACGUGCCAGCCGCCGCGGUAA
Molecule: ribosomal RNA, 484 nt
Filed under: uncultured bacterium
Lineage: Bacteria
Description: partial 16S ribosomal RNA
Rfam family: Bacterial small subunit ribosomal RNA
Source: RNAcentral